GUACACAACUUGUGAUUAGUUUGUGUUGAUUGCUUUUAAAUUAAACACAUGAUAAUACUUAUUCAGCGAUGCAGUCAUACUGAUUUAACUGUAAACAGUGUGUAGUAUUUCAUUAGUACAGUUAGCACCACAAACAUUUUUUCUUUGUGUUGUAAACCUUCAACAUCUUUUUCCUACCUAUUAGUUAUGGUUGCUAUACCAUGCUGUAGAACACGAGAACUUAAUGCUAACUGUAUUUUUGUACAUGUUAACCAACCUUUGUGUAUCCUUUUUGUCACUACCCUCCCUCUGGAAACCACUGCCUCCUGCAUACUAGUGAGAACAUGUGGUGCCUUCCUGUGCCUGGCUUCCUUCACUUGUUAUAACAGGUCAUGCAUAUUGCUGUAAAGUGGACCAUUGUAUGCGCUAAUCUACAACAAGAAUCCGAAUAGAAGAAAACUAUUUGCUAUGUUCUUUAGGUCUUACUCCUCCUUUGUUCUCUCUGUCCUUCCCUCCCUCCCUUCCUCCACCCCUCCCCACGCUCUUUCUCUGUAGUUAUGAAAUAAAAGGUUUAGCGAUAAAUUUUCCAUAUAAAAUAGCCUACAUAUUAAAGAAUCAGCCAGGGCUUGCUUAGGUGUACCAUCUCUGAACACUGUCUUGGCUUGCAAUGGGCUUUUUGGUUUUAAAUCUGAGUAAGAAAUGAUCUAGUGUAUUGCUUGUUUUGUGACUGUUGAAGUUUCUGCCUCUGAUUUUUGGCUUUAUAAAUUUCUUCUAAAUAAAAGUUACUUUAAAAAUGAAUCUGAGUCUGUUAUAUUAAUAACUACUGAAUAUAAAAAUACAUAUAAUAUGUAUUCACUAUAGAAAAGUAAAAGGAAAUCUAACCUUGCCAUGUAAAGAACAUUUUUUUUUUUUUUUCCGAGACAGGGUUUCUCUGUAUAGCUCUGGCUGUCCUGGAACUCACUCUGUAGACCAGGCUGGCCUCGAACUCAGAAAUCCACCUGCCUCUGUCUCCCAAGUGCUGGGAUUAAAGGCGUGCGCCACCACUGCCUGGCCGUGGCACCAAUUUUUUUUUUAAGAUUUAUUUAUUUAUUUAAUGUAUGUGAGUACACUGUAGCUGUACAGAUGGUUGUGAGCCAUCACGUGGUCGCUGGGAAUUGACCCCAGACCUCUGCUCGUUCUGGCCCCGCACGCUCCAACUCUGCUCACAACAGCCCAAAGAUUUAGUAUAUAUAAGUACACUGUAGCUGUCUUCAGACACACCAGAAGAGGGCAUCAGAUCUCACUACGGAUGACUGUGAGCCACCAUGUGGUUGCUGGGAUUUGAACUCAGGACCUUUGGAAGAGCAGUCAGUGCUCUUAACCGCUGAGCCAUCUCACCAGCCUGUGGCACCAAUUUUUUUAAAAAAUAUUUAUUUAUUAUAUGUAAGUACACUGUAGCUGUCUUCAGACACUCCAGAAGAGGGCAUCAGAUCUCAUUAUGGAUGGUUGUGAGCCACCAUGUGGUUAUUGGGAUUUGAACUCGGGACCUUUGGAAGAGCAGACAGUGCUCUUGACCGCUCAGCCAUCUCUCCAGCCCCGUGACAGCAAUUAUAGUAGUGCUAAAGAGUCAACUUUGUCCUUCCAAGAAAGCAUUAUCUCUGGAUAGUUUAAAUACUAAAAUACAAGAAUAUUUUUGCAAAAAUCUAUAUAAUCCAUGUUCUCCCCCAAUGAAAUGUGUUCUAUCUUUUCGUUUUAGAUAAAGAGUGACUGGUCUCUCUCAGAGUCUCCUUUCAUAAAGGUUUUACGUAGAGAAUCUUCUUAAGUAUAGUAAUGUAACCUAACCUGUUUUAACCCUGUAGUAGUUUAUGGUUGACUAGAUGCUUGUUUCUUUGUAAGACAAGGACUCUUCUGUGUCGUUUUGUCUGUUUUGGAACUCCCUCUAGACCCGGCUGGCCUUGAGCUCAGACAUUCUCUUGCCUCUGUGUCUCAAGUGCUGGCAUUAAAGGUGUAUGUCACCACACCUGACUGGUUUUUUUUCUUUGUACAAAAUACAAACAAAUGCUGGGUAAAUAACUAGUAAGCUAAUGUAAUUAGUAUCUAAAGUAAUUCUUACUCAGGUCUAGUUAUGCCCCAAUUGCCUGUCUAUCCAUCUAUUCAUGCAUCCAUCCGUCUGCUAUUUUUCUUUCAUUUACUCAUUUAUUCAUUGGCAGGGUGUCUCUAGGUAGCCCCAGUUGUCCCAGAACUUACUAUGUAGCCCAGGCUGUUACAUCUUUUGAAGACAGGAACAUACUGUAAUAAAUGCACCCUUAGUUUUGCUUUUAGAAAUUUCAUGGCUAUGCACCUAGAUGAUAUGGAAGACUUUAUUGUAAUACACAAAAUACCACAAGCAGUUUAACAACAACCCAAAAAGAGGUGCAGUAAAAAUACAGCCUAAAGGAUUUUUUAAGUGUAUUGUAAAGCACUUAACCAUGAAUGGCAUUUGUGAGACUGGAGAUUAGUUGUUCUGUACCUAGUUAGUCAUUAGUAAUUUUGUGCAAAGGCCUAGGUAUUGCUGUACCUUACUGGAGUUUUUUGAAUAAAUGGUGUGCACUUAAACUAGGCUAAACUUAGGAAGAGAAUUUCUUCGAUAUGUGUUUACUGCAACUUUUUAAAAACUUUUGGGCGCUCUUAUCACUCUUAGCUUAAAACAAACAUAUUAAGCAGGGCAUUGUAACGAAUGCCUGUAAUCCCAGCACACAGGAGGCAGAGACAGGAGGAUUGAUGUAAAUUUGAAGCAAACUGGAUCUGUGUAGUGAGUUUAAGGCUAGUCAGGACUACCUAAUGGGACACUCCAAGCCCAAAGAAGCGACCCCUUCCAUUGAGUAUACAGUAUUUUAUACCUGUCCCACUCACCUACUGUCAAAUUUUAAGUAUUUUAGAGCGUUAUUGUUUAAAACACAUAAAAGCUGAACAUGGUAGCACAAUCUUGUCUUUGCAUCCUGUGGCAGCUACAGAAGGAUUAGAAGUUCAAGGUCAACCUGAGCUGUAGUGGAAUCCAAGACCAAUGUGGGCUAUAUGAGAUGCUGUCUCAGUAAAUUCAGACAAAUGUAUUCUAAUCUAAAGCAGUGGUUCUCAACCUUCCUAAUGCUGUGGUUGUUUAACGUAGUUCCUCAUGUAGUGACCUCAACCAUAAAAUUAUUUUUAUUAUUUUUUGUUUUUGUGUUAUUAUCCUUUUUUUUUUUUACCUUCUUGUUUGUUUGUUUGUUUUGUUUUGUUACUAAAUGCACAGGUUGGGAGCCACUAGUUGCACAGGUUCACAGUAGUGUCACUGGCAUCCACCUCUACCUUUUGUUCCACUUGAACGUCCAGGAGCUGUUGUCUUGUAAUGACAAAGCUGCCUUCUGGAUCUUUGGAUCUGCUAGAGGCCCUGAGAAAGAUAGAAAGUUGAUAAGCAGAAAAUACAAUAAGGUCGAUUACUCAAUUAGCAAAAUAUCUUUUGGCAUUAGGAUCACAUCAGAUAUGCUUAUUUUAUAAGACAUAAAAAUGUAAAAUUACAUCAGUUUUACACACACACUUAGAAAAGACUGAAAAAUGAAGGUGUUUGGGUAUAGCCCCUGGGGAAAUGCUAGAGAGCUGAGGGCAGAGGGAACAGCAGCUGGAGUUGAGGAAGCAUGGCUGCUACAGAAUGAGGUUUGUCUUUGUCCUCACCUUGUUGGGGAUAUGAUCAGGUCUGUGCAGGGCUGGGCUUGCUGGCACCUGCCUGCAACUCCAGCAUACUCGGAGGCAAGAAGAUUGGCGUUUUGAGGCUGGCUAGGGUGAUCUCUUGUCUC
Molecule: long non-coding RNA, 3767 nt
Filed under: Mus musculus (house mouse)
Lineage: Eukaryota; Metazoa; Chordata; Mammalia; Rodentia; Muridae
Description: long non-coding RNA chr6:30057134-30060901
Source: RNAcentral